AGCUCCCAGCAGAUUCAUCCUUGUGCCUUGGUGGCCCUUUCCCUCUCACGGGGCAAACUGGUCCAGAAGGACCCGGCAGGACUGAGCAGCAGCUGACUGCAGGAAGGGAAGGCUCCUCAGCUCCCCUGAGUGGGGAAGCUGGCACUUCAGGGCUGGAGCCUGCCGAGCCCCAGGCUGGUUAUCGAGCUGUCUCACGAAGUAUGACUCAAGUGACAUCUUUACUGAUCUCAUCAAAGUCUUUUCCAGAGGCAUCAAGGAAAGAUGGAGAGAUAAGGACUUGGUAAUGUUGAGAUCUGGAACAUAUUAAAAAAACAGGCAUUGCUAACUGAGCGCAAGGCAAUAGGAAUGUGUCAGCAGGAUGAGGGCUGCCCAGCAGAGUCCAAGGGAGGCGGCAGGAUGCCAUCUGUCUGAGUGAAGACUCCAACAGAACCCUGGCAUAUUAUGAGGAUUUCUAAUAUGAAAAUAGGCACAGGAGAAUUUCAGAAGUCUCCUCAGGUCUUGCAGUGGUCUCAAGCCUUGGAUAUUGCAAUUAAAAAAAGAUUUUGAUCUACUCAUGCCUCUUCGCUGAAUAUCUGAACAAACUAUUAUGAUUUUUCAUAAAGAGGAAUAGUCUACUGUCAGGAAUUGGACUUAACAAAUCAGCUAAUGUAAGUUUACAGACCUUGCAGGAAAAAUAAAAA
Molecule: long non-coding RNA, 680 nt
Organism: Passer montanus (Eurasian tree sparrow)
Lineage: Eukaryota; Metazoa; Chordata; Aves; Passeriformes; Passeridae
Exons: 3
Source: RefSeq, a predicted model, not a curated record